CUGAGAGUUUGAUUCUGGCUCAGAACGAACGCUGGCGGCAGGCUUAACACAUGCAAGUCGAACGAUAUAGUGGCAGACGGGUGAGUAACGCGUGGAAACGUGCCUUUCACUACGGAAUAGCUUUUGGAAACGAAAGGUAAUACCGUAUACGCCCUCCGGGGGAAAGAUUUAUCGGUGAAAGAUCGGUCCGCGUUAGAUUAGCUAGUUGGUGAGGUAACGGCUCACCAAGGCUACGAUCUAUAGCUGGUCUGAGAGGAUGAUCAGCCACACUGGGACUGAGACACGGCCCAGACUCCUACGGGAGGCAGCAGUGGGGAAUAUUGCACAAUGGGCGCAAGCCUGAUGCAGCCAUGCCGCGUGAAUGAUGAAGGCCUUAGGGUUGUAAAAUUCUUUCGCCAGGGAUGAUAAUGACAGUACCUGGUAAAGAAGCCCCGGCUAACUUCGUGCCAGCAGCCGCGGUAAUACGAAGGGGGCUAGCGUUGUUCGGAAUUACUGGGCGUAAAGCGCACGUAGGCGGACUUUUAAGUCAGAUGUGAAAUCCCAAGGCUCAACCUUGGAACUGCAUUUGAAACUGGGAGUCUAGAGAUCAGGAGAGGUUAGCGGAAUACCGAGUGUAGAGGUGAAAUUCGUAGAUAUUCGGUGGAACACCAGUGGCGAAGGCGGCUAACUGGACUGAUACUGACGCUGAGGUGCGAAAGUGUGGGGAGCAAACAGGAUUAGAUACCCUGGUAGUCCACACCGUAAACGAUGAGUGCUAGUUGUCUGCAGGCAUGCCUGUAGGUGACGCAGCUAACGCAUUAAGCACUCCGCCUGGGGAGUACGGCCGCAAGGUUAAAACUCAAAGAAAUUGACGGGGGCCCGCACAAGCGGUGGAGCAUGUGGUUUAAUUCGAAGCAACGCGCAGAACCUUACCUACGCUUGACAUGCCCGGACGAUUUCCAGAGAUGGAUCUCUCCCUUCGGGGCCGGUGCACAGGUGCUGCAUGGCUGUCGUCAGCUCGUGUCGUGAGAUGUUGGGUUAAGUCCCGCAACGAGCGCAACCCUCAUCCUUAGUUGCCAUCACGUUUGGGUGGGCACUCUAGGGAAACUGCCGGUGCUAAGCCGGAGGAAGGCGGGGAUGACGUCAAGUCCUCAUGGCCCUUACGCGUAGGGCUACACACGUGCUACAAUGGCAGUGACAAUGGGAUAAUCCCCAAAAGCUGUCUCAGUUCGGAUUGUCGGCUGCAACUCGCCGGCAUGAAGUUGGAAUCGCUAGUAAUCGUGGAUCAGCAUGCCACGGUGAAUACGUUCCCGGGCCUUGUACACACCGCCCGUCACACCAUGGGAGUUGGAUCUACCCGAAGAUUGUGAGCUAACUUCGGAGGCAGCAAGCCACGGUAGGUUCAGCGACUGGGGUGAAGUCGUAACAAGGUAGCCGUAGGGGAACCUGCGGCUGGAUCACCUCCUUU
This 1447-nucleotide ribosomal RNA is filed under the name uncultured bacterium. RNAcentral's name for it is "bacterial SSU rRNA". It matches the Rfam family "Bacterial small subunit ribosomal RNA". The record is from RNAcentral.